Molecule: ribosomal RNA, 409 nt
Filed under: uncultured bacterium
Lineage: Bacteria
Description: bacterial SSU rRNA
Rfam family: Bacterial small subunit ribosomal RNA
Source: RNAcentral
UCGAGGAUCUUCGGCAAUGGGCGCAAGCCCGACCGAGCGAUGCCGCGUGGGCGACGAAGGCCUUCGGGUUGUAAAGCCCUGUCGAGGGGGAGAAAGCCGCAAGGUCGAUCCAUCCCUGGAGGAAGCACGGGCUAAGUUCGUGCCAGCAGCCGCGGUAAGACGAACCGUGCGAACGUUGUUCGGAAUCACUGGGCUUAAAGGGCGCGUAGGCGGGCUGCCAAGUCUGGGGUGAAAUCCUCUGGCUCAACCAGGGAAGUGCCUCGGAUACUGGCGGCCUCGAGGGGGGUAGGGGCGUGCGGAACUGUGGGUGGAGCGGUGAAAUGCGUUGAUAUCCACAGGAACUCCGGUGGCGAAGGCGGCACGCUGGACCCUUUCUGACGCUGAGGCGCGAAAGCCAGGGGAGCGAACG